This 492-nucleotide ribosomal RNA is filed under the name uncultured bacterium. RNAcentral describes it as "partial 16S ribosomal RNA". It matches the Rfam family "Bacterial small subunit ribosomal RNA", at positions 29 to 507 of the family's 1533-position model. The record is from RNAcentral.
AGUGAACGCUGGCGGUAGGCCUAACACAUGCAAGUCGAACGGCAGCACAGUAAGAGCUUGCUCUUACGGGUGGCGAGUGGCGGACGGGUGAGGAAUACAUCGGAAUCUACUUUUUCGUGGGGGAUAACGUAGGGAAACUUACGCUAAUACCGCAUACGACCUACGGGUGAAAGCAGGGGAUCUUCGGACCUUGCGCGAUUGAAUGAGCCGAUGUCGGAUUAGCUAGUUGGCGGGGUAAAGGCCCACCAAGGCGACGAUCCGUAGCUGGUCUGAGAGGAUGAUCAGCGACACUGGAACUGAGACACGGUCCAGACUCCUACGGGAGGCAGCAGUGGGGAAUAUUGGACAAUGGGGGCAAGCCUGAUCCAGCCAUAGCGCGUGGGUGAAGAAGACCUUCGGGUUGUAAAGCCCUUUUGUUGGGAAAGAAAAGCAGCAGGUUAAUACCCCGCUGUUCUGACGGUACCCAAAGAAUAAGCACCGGCUAACUUCGUG